Molecule: ribosomal RNA, 253 nt
Filed under: uncultured bacterium
Lineage: Bacteria
Description: partial 16S ribosomal RNA
Rfam family: Bacterial small subunit ribosomal RNA
Source: RNAcentral
UACGUAGGUGGCAAGCGUUGUCCGGAUUCAUUGGGCGUAAAGAGCUCGUAGGCGGCUGUUCAAGUCGAACGUGAAAACUCGGAGCUCAACUCCGAGCCUGCGUUCGAUACUGGACGGCUAGAGUCUGGUAGGGGGAUCUGGAAUUCCUGGUGUAGCGGUGGAAUGCGCAGAUAUCAGGAGGAACACCGGUGGCGAAGGCGGGAUCCUGGGCCAGUACUGACGCUCAUGUGCGAAAGCGUGGGGAGCAAACAGG